CUGAACAAUGGAAAGAUGGUGGUUUGAACCAUCUUUCCAUGCAGAGAACAUGCAAAUACCACAAAGUAAGGACCCAGCUGAAAUUUAAACAUCCAACCUUCGUACAAACCAUUCCUCAUAAGACAGACUACUGUUGUGACACAUCCUAACAGCAAAUGACACAAGACUUGUCACAGCGAAUCAACCUCCAGAGACUACACAUUACUUUGAAAGUUGUGUUGGAUCUGCACUGCACAUAUCUUUUUGUGUGCAUGUUAAAUAUAUUUUUAGCUUUCUUAAUUAGUUAGCAGAAAUUCAAGCUGGGAGACAACACACAGCUGAACCACAUCACCCACUCACCAUGCCCCCGCCGCAGCCAAUCGUCGUUCACGAGUCCCUUCAAGAGGUCUAGCUACCUUGGGUUUUCCGCUCAUCAUUCGCGCUUCGAUCCACCUCCUCCCCAUCUCCACCUCCAUCCGGACGGACACCUUCCUGCCUCCCUCUGCGCUUCUUCAUCUCCAGGCUCCACUCCAUCACCAGUAUUUGGACCUGGGGGGAAGACUACCCUGAGCUUCGCCCAAACCGAUCACCUGCCCUUGGUGAUCCUCAGCUCACAAGUCUUCUGUCGGGUUCAAGGGCCAAAUAACUUUGUACUAUUAAAUCGUCUAGCUGCUA
Molecule: long non-coding RNA, 654 nt
Organism: Poeciliopsis prolifica (blackstripe livebearer)
Lineage: Eukaryota; Metazoa; Chordata; Actinopteri; Cyprinodontiformes; Poeciliidae
Exons: 2
Source: RefSeq, a predicted model, not a curated record